CCCGCAAGGUCGGCCAUGGCGCGACCGAGCAGAGCAGGUACUAUCCUUGUCGUGGAUUGCUGCCUCACGUGUACGCAGAGCACAUCUUGGGUGUUUAGGUUGCAAGGUCAGUUUAGUCUA
Non-coding RNA from Triticum urartu, 120 nucleotides. The record is from RefSeq and is a predicted model, not a curated record. Lineage: Eukaryota; Viridiplantae; Streptophyta; Magnoliopsida; Poales; Poaceae.